RNAcentral lists this long non-coding RNA (1506 nucleotides) under Homo sapiens (human). RNAcentral's name for it is "non-protein coding lnc-AKT1-1:3". The record is from RNAcentral. Lineage: Eukaryota; Metazoa; Chordata; Mammalia; Primates; Hominidae.
AGUCACAGAAGAACACGUACCAUACAAUCCCACUUAUGUGAGGUCCCUAGAGUAGUCACUUUCAUAGAGAUAGUAGCUGACAGGAGGAGCAUGGGGAGUGACUGUUUAAUGAAUACAGACUUGAAAUUUGGGAAGAGGUAAAAGUUCUGGAGAUGGAUGGUGGUGAUGGGUGGUGAUGAUGGACAUUGGAGAUGGGCAAUGGACAUGGAUGGUGGUGAUGGAUGGUAUAAAUGGAUAUUGGAUGUGGACAGCGGACGUGGACAGUGGAGAUAGAGGGUGGUGAUGGCUGGUGGACAUGGACAGUGAAGAUAGAGAGUAGUGAUGGAUGGUGGAGAUAGAGGGCGGUGAUGGACAGUGGAGAUAGAGGGUGGUGAUGGACAGUGGAGAUAGAGGGUGGUGAUGGACAGUGGACAUGGACAGUGGAGAUAGAGGGUGGUGAUGGACAGUGGAGAUAGAGGGUGGUGAUGGACAGUGGACAUGGAUAGUGGAGACAGAGGGUAGUGAUGGACAGUGGAGAUAGAGGGUGGUGAUGGACAGUGGACAUGGACAGUGGAGAUAAAGGGUGGUGAUGGACAGUGGAGAUAGAGGGUGGUGAUGGACAGUGGAGAUAGAGGGUGGUGAUGGACAGUGGAGAUAGAGGGUGGUGAUGAACAGUGGAGAUAGAGGGUAGUGAUGGACAGUGGACAUGGACAGUGGAGAUAGAGGGUGGUGAUGGAUGGUGGACAUGGACAGUGGAGAUAGAGGGUGGUGAUAGACGGUGGACAUGGACAGUGGACAUGGACGGUGGGGACAGAGGGUGGUGAUGGACGGUGGACACAGACGGUGGAGAUAGAGGGUGGUGAUGGACGGUGGACACGGACAGUGGAGAUAGAGGGUGGUGAUGGACAGUGGAGAUAGAGGGUGGUGAUGGUCAGUGGAGAUAGAGGGUGGUGAUGGACGGUGGAGAUAGAGGGUGGUGAUGGACAGUGGACAUGGACAGUGGAGACAGAGGGGGUGAUGGACAAUGGACAUGGACAGUGGAGAUACAGGGUGGUGAUGGACGGUGGACAUGGACAGUGGAGACCGGGGGUGAUGAACAGUGGACAUGGACAGUGGAGACAGAGGGUGGUGAUGGACCCUGGAGAUAGAGGGUGGUGAUGGACAGUGGAGAUAGAGGGUGGUGAUGGGCGGUGGACAUGGACAGUGGAGAUAGAGGGUGGUGAUGGACAGUGGACAUGGACAGUGGAGAUAGAGGGUAGUGAUAGACGGUGGACAUGGAUAGUGGAGAUAGAGGGUGGUGAUGGACGGUGGACAUGGACAGUGGAGAUAGAGGGUGGUGAUGGACGGUGGACAUGGACAGUGGAGAUAGAGGGUGGUGAUGGAUGGUGGACAUGGACAGUGGAGACAGAGGGUGGUGAUGGACGGUGGAGAUAGAGGGUAGUGAUGGACGGUGGACAUGGACAGUGGAGACGGAGGGUAGUGAUGGAUGGUGGACAUGGACAGUGGAGACAGAGGGUGGUGAUGGAG